GAAGAUACUUAAAAUGAGAGCUUCGGCAGGAUUUUUAUUUAUCUUAGUGGCGGACGGGUGAGUAACGUGUGGGCAACCUGCCCUAUACUGGGGAAUAAUCGCUGGAAACGGUGACUAAUACCGCAUGUCAUCACGGAAGGGCAUCCUUUUGUAAGAAAAGGAGUAAUUCGGUAUAGGAUGGGCCCGCAUCUGAUUAGCUAGUUGGUGAGAUAACAGCCCACCAAGGCGACGAUCAGUAGCCGACCUGAGAGGGUGAUCGGCCACAUUGGGACUGAGACACGGCCCAAACUCCUACGGGAGGCAGCAGUGGGGAAUAUUGCACAAUGGGGGAAACCCUGAUGCAGCAACGCCGCGUGAAGGAAGAAGGUUUUCGGAUCGUAAACUUCUAUCAACAGGGACGAAGAAAGUGACGGUACCUGAAUAAGAAGCCCCGGCUAACUACGUGCCAGCAGCCGCGGUAAUACGUAGGGGGCAAGCGUUAUCCGGAAUUACUGGGUGUAAAGGGAGCGUAGGCGGCACGCCAAGCCAGAUGUGAAAGCCCGAGGCUUAACCUCGCGGAUUGCAUUUGGAACUGGCGAGCUAGAGUACAGGAGAGGAAAGCGGAAUUCCUAGUGUAGCGGUGAAAUGCGUAGAUAUUAGGAAGAACACCAGUGGCGAAGGCGGCUUUCUGGACUGAAACUGACGCUGAGGCUCGAAAGCGUGGGGAGCAAACAGGAUUAGAUACCCUGGUAGUCCACGCCGUAAACGAUGAGUGCUAGGUGUCGGGGAGGAAUCCUCGGUGCCGCAGCUAACGCAAUAAGCACUCCACCUGGGGAGUACGACCGCAAGGUUGAAACUCAAAGGAAUUGACGGGGGCCCGCACAAG
Molecule: ribosomal RNA, 865 nt
Filed under: Anaerotignum lactatifermentans
Lineage: Bacteria; Bacillati; Bacillota; Clostridia; Lachnospirales; Anaerotignaceae
Description: bacterial SSU rRNA
Rfam family: Bacterial small subunit ribosomal RNA
Source: RNAcentral